Molecule: ribosomal RNA, 508 nt
Filed under: Bacillus subtilis
Lineage: Bacteria; Bacillati; Bacillota; Bacilli; Caryophanales; Bacillaceae
Description: bacterial SSU rRNA
Rfam family: Bacterial small subunit ribosomal RNA
Source: RNAcentral
CAGUCGAGCGGACAGAUGGGAGCUUGCUCCCUGAUGUUAGCGGCGGACGGGUGAGUAACACGUGGGUAACCUGCCUGUAAGACUGGGAUAACUCCGGGAAACCGGGGCUAAUACCGGAUGGUUGUUUGAACCGCAUGGUUCAAACAUAAAAGGUGGCUUCGGCUACCACUUACAGAUGGACCCGCGGCGCAUUAGCUAGUUGGUGAGGUAACGGCUCACCAAGGCAACGAUGCGUAGCCGACCUGAGAGGGUGAUCGGCCACACUGGGACUGAGACACGGCCCAGACUCCUACGGGAGGCAGCAGUAGGGAAUCUUCCGCAAUGGACGAAAGUCUGACGGAGCAACGCCGCGUGAGUGAUGAAGGUUUUCGGAUCGUAAAGCUCUGUUGUUAGGGAAGAACAAGUACCGUUCGAAUAGGGCGGUACCUUGACGGUACCUAACCAGAAAGCCACGGCUAACUACGUGCCAGCAGCCGCGGUAAUACGUAGGUGGCAAGCGUUGUCCGGA